CGCCCUUUGGAUUCAAAUUUAACCUUCAGGAAGAAUGGGCCUUAUUGGCCCAUUACAGGAAUGCAUAAGGAAAGAAAUCCGUUUGAAUCCCAAACGGAUUAUCACAUGUAAAGAAAAAAAAAUAUAGGAUUAGCAAUAACCAAAUAUUAGCCCAAAAUUUGCAAGUAUAUUAUGGAAUACAAUUUCACGCAGUAAAAUCAAGGAUACAACUACAGUUCGCAUAAGGUGAGAUUGUUUGAGAGUGCCGUCCUUUUCCACAAUUUUAUGGUAGUGCCAAGAUUUGUAUACUAAACUCCUUGCAGUAUAUUGAUUUGUUAGUGCAUUAUCAACCAAAAGUUCUCCACAUUUGUGUUUAAUGGAUGAGUUUGGAUUAUGGUUCACACAUUCUGUGAAAUUAUACAACUGCUACUAUAAACUACAACAACAUAAUGCAAUAGUAAUCACAAAGCUUCAAUUUUGAUGAAAAUAAUUCUUGUCCGAGCAAAAGUUUUGACACUAAAGAAUGACAUGAAUGAAAACAAUAUAUAUAUAUGUUGAAUUCUAUUAUGCUGACAAAAAUAGUGAAGAAGUUGAGGGUUAGAAAAUUAAAUAUCCGUCAAUCUAGACAUGCAACCGAAUCAAGUUAGAUGAGCAUCAAUCAUAAUUUUCACAAUAAGUAAACCAGUUUCUUCUCUAGUUUAACUUGCAUUUCAAUAUUUAUAAAAAUAUUUCUUUAAUAGAGUUCUAUUUAGGAGUAUUUUUUAUCCUAUUUUAAGAGUAUUUUUCUAAUUGAUCAUUACAAAGAAAAAUAUUAAUUAAUUCUUCUUCAAUAUAUUUUAGAAGUCCGAUAUAUUUUAUGAGACUAAUUAAUAUAAUAAAAAUAAUUAAAUAAUAAAUUAAAGAAAAUAGUAAAUAGACAGCUUUGUCUAAAAAAGAUCUUUUAAUGAAGGAUAAAACGUUUAAAUUACUUUUCUAAGAGCCUUCACACUUUUAGAGUGUAUGGUAUGAUGGAAAAUAUUUUUCAUGAAAAAUAAGUUGUUGUUUCACUUAUUUUCUUACGUUUGAUUGAUGAGUGAAAAAUAUUUUUCAAAAAAUAUUUUAUAGUGUUUGAUUGGAGAACAGAAAAUAUAUGUUUUUCUACCUAAAUUUUAACUUUACAUGAGAGUGUGCCCCUCUAAUUAAAAGUAUAAUAUAUUUUCUAAAAUAUAAUAUUUAACUACACAUUUUUAAUCAUUAGGUCAAUUUGUAUGAGAUGUGACAUCAACAAUUAUACAUUCAUCUGACCAAAUUUAAAAAAUAAUGUCAUUUUUUAUUACGUAUUAAUAAAAUAAAUUUAUAAUUGCUAUUUUUUAUUUUUUUAUUUAUUAAAAAGUAACUUCUUAAUAGGAUUUUAUGAAAGGAAAAGUAAAAAAGAAUGAGCUAGGUGGUACUUGACAAAACGAAGCAAUAACUUUUUUUAAAAAAUUUUUUUGGUAAGAAACAUAAUAAAAAGUUCUAACUUAUAAAAGUUAAAAAAGUUAUAAAAUUUCAAUUUAUAAUUUUUUUUUAAAAACUCAAUAUACUAUCACAUCACUUAUUUAUGUCAAAUUAUGUAAACUUAAUAAAUUAUUACGUUUUACAAAAAAAAUUUUGUAAACCAUAAUAAAUUACUACGUUUUAUAAAAAGUUUUUGUAAAACGUAAUAAAUUAUUAUUACAUUUUACUAAAACUUUUUUACUGUACACAUCCACUAUCAAACCGUUAAAAAAAUUAUAAAAUAUAAUAAAUUAUUACAUUUAACCUAUUUUGGUAACUUAUUGACCUAUUUUAGUCACUUUAUUCAAUUUGGGCUCUUAAGCCCAAAUCCAUCAUCUUGUCUGAUUGAGCUUCUGGCCCAAUUUCACUUGUCCUAAUCUAGAUAUUGGGCUUUGGCCCAUAACCUGUCUUAAACUAUUUUUUCGGACCUUUCGACCCAUAUUCGGCUUCACCUGUAUUAAAUUUACAACUUUGGCUUCGAGGCCUAAAAUGAAUGAAUAAAUAGAUAAAUGGAUAAAUAAAUAAGUAAAAAAAUAAAUAAAGAAAUAAUAAAAUUUUUCAUCAAAUGGAAUUUGAUUCAUCUUUCUUCGUCUUCCAUCGUCUUGUAUUCAUAUGUCGUGUAUCCGCCCUUUGGAUUCAAAUUUAACCUUCAGGAAGAAUGGGCCUUAUUGGCCCAUUACAGGAAUGCAUAAGGAAAGAAAUCCGUUUGAAUCCCAAACGGAUUAUCACAUGUAAAGAAAAAAAAAUAUAGGAUUAGCAAUAACCAAAUAUUAGCCCAAAAUUUGCAAGUAUAUUAUGGAAUACAAUUUCACGCAGUAAAAUCAAGGAUACAACUACAGUUCGCAUAAGGUGAGAUUGUUUGAGAGUGCCGUCCUUUUCCACAAUUUUAUGGUAGUGCCAAGAUUUGUAUACUAAACUCCUUGCAGUAUAUUGAUUUGUUAGUGCAUUAUCAACCAAAAGUUCUCCACAUUUGUGUUUAAUGGAUGAGUUUGGAUUAUGGUUCACACAUUCUGUGAAAUUAUACAACUGCUA
RNAcentral lists this long non-coding RNA (2526 nucleotides) under Capsicum annuum. RNAcentral describes it as "long non-coding RNA (CANN_LNC013152)". Lineage: Eukaryota; Viridiplantae; Streptophyta; Magnoliopsida; Solanales; Solanaceae. The record is from RNAcentral.